This 715-nucleotide long non-coding RNA is filed under the name Meleagris gallopavo (turkey). RNAcentral's name for it is "lncRNA (ENSMGAG00000020046.1)". The record is from RNAcentral. Lineage: Eukaryota; Metazoa; Chordata; Aves; Galliformes; Phasianidae.
UCUGCUUUAUAAGUUACCCUUCACCACAGGACCAGUUUCUAGAUGGUAAGAAUUCCAAGAAUCAUCAAGUCCAAUGUCUACUAAAGCAGACAAAUACAGUUUAAUGUUGAGGACGUGGGAUGUUCAAGGAAAAAUAUGUGAAAGAAUGUCUUUGAAUAAAUCUCAGAUCUGUUCUGCAAACAACAUGCUUAUCAAAAGAUGACUUUGAAGGCUUAUGAGAGACAGCAAGCAUGGUUAGAUGAGCAAACCUGGUUUGGAAUUGUGCCAUGUCCUUGGACCUUCCUACACAAAAAUGUUAAUCACACUUCUUCUAAAAACAAGAACAGAGAGAAUUGUGCACUUGUUUGUUUGGAUUGAUCCUGCCAGGACUGAGAGUUUAGCCAGCAAAGUGCAGCCAGGGGCUUGCUGGAGGAUUUUGUCUCAGAAGACACCAACAGUGAAGAUGAGAAAAAUCUAUUGGCAACCUGGAAAACAGCCAUUUGAAACUUCAAGAUUACAGAACACUCUUCUAGAUGUGACCUCUUCUGGAAGACAGUCUCUCGGACUAUUGUUGGUAAGAUGUCAAACAAUUAGAUGGGAAAACUGGAAUGGAACCCAGUGUCAUGCAGUUGGAGUCUUUUGGUGUGAGAGGGCUUUUUGGACAAUGGAUGACAUCAAUAUUCCCUGGCACACGGAGCAAGAUAUUGUGCCAAGAAAGUGCUACACGAAGCAUUAA